CCUACGGGAGGCAGCAGUGGGGAAUAUUGCGCAAUGGGCGAAAGCCUGACGCAGCGACGCCGCGUGAGGGAUGAAGGUCUUCGGAUCGUAAAACCCUGUUUGUAGGGAAGAAAGGUCCCUGUGGUAACCAGUAGUGUAUCUACGGUACCUACAAAGAAAGCCUCGGCUAACUCCGUGCCAGCAGCCGCGGUAAUACGGAGGAGGCUAUCUUUAGUCGGAUUUAGUGGGCGUAAAGGGGUCGUAGGCGGUAUGUCAAGUCAGGGGUGAAAUCCUUGCGCUCAACGUGAGAAGUGCCUUUGAAACUGGCAGACGUGAGUGUGUGAGAGGAUGGUGGAAUUCGAGGUGUAGGGGUGAAAUGCGUAGAUAUCUGGAAGAACACCAGUGGCGAAGGCGGCUAUCUGGCACAUAACUGACGCUGAGGAACGAAAGCGUGGGUAGCAAACAGGAUUAGAUACCCUAGUAGUC
RNAcentral lists this ribosomal RNA (465 nucleotides) under uncultured bacterium. RNAcentral's name for it is "partial 16S ribosomal RNA". It matches the Rfam family "Bacterial small subunit ribosomal RNA", at positions 338 to 795 of the family's 1533-position model. The record is from RNAcentral.